AUCGAACUCUGUCGGCAGGCCUAACACAUGCAAGUCGAACGAGUCGCGGUAGUGCGAGUAAUGUCUGUGACACCGCCUGAUGGAGUGGGAUAACUACUGUAAACGGUAGCUAAUACCGCAUUCCAUCAGAUGGGCCCAGAUGGGAUUAGCCUGUGGGUGGGGUAACGGCUUACCCAGGCGACGAUCCCUAGCUGUUCUGAGAGGAUGAUCAGCCACACGGGCACUGAGACGCGGUCCAGACUCCGACGGGAGGCAGCAGUGGGGAAGAUUGCACAAUGGGCGCAAGCCUGAUGCAGCGAUGCCGCGUGUAUAAAGAAGGCCUUAGGGUUGUCAAGUUCUUUCGGCGGGGAGGCGUUACCCGCAGAAGAAGCACCGGCUAACUCCGUGCCAGCAGCCGCGGUAAUAC
RNAcentral lists this ribosomal RNA (406 nucleotides) under uncultured bacterium. RNAcentral describes it as "partial 16S ribosomal RNA". It matches the Rfam family "Bacterial small subunit ribosomal RNA", at positions 30 to 526 of the family's 1533-position model. The record is from RNAcentral.